This 253-nucleotide ribosomal RNA is filed under the name uncultured bacterium. RNAcentral's name for it is "partial 16S ribosomal RNA". It matches the Rfam family "Bacterial small subunit ribosomal RNA", at positions 524 to 776 of the family's 1533-position model. The record is from RNAcentral.
UACGAAGGGUGCAAGCGUUGCUCGGAAUUAUUGGGCGUAAAGGGUAGGUAGGUGGUAAUAAAAGUCUGGGGUGAAAUCCCUGAGCUCAACUCAGGACGUGCCUUGGAAACUUUAUUACUAGAGUGCUGGAGAGGUCCGCAGAAUUCCCGGUGUAGCGGUGAAAUGCGUAGAUAUCGGAAGGAACAUCAGUGGCGAAAGCGACUUCCUGGACCAAUACUGACGCUCAUGUGCGAAAGCGUGGGGAGCAAACAGG